GACGAACGCUGGCGGCGUGCCUAACACAUACAAGUCAACUUGAGGGAAGGAGCAAUCUGACCUGAUGGUGGCGCAAGGGUGCGUAACGCGUAAGUAACUUGCCCCAAGGUAAGGAAUAACGUCGAGAAAUCGGCGCUAAUACCUCAUAAUGCAGCGGAUCCGCAUGGAUAUGUUGUUAAAGGUUUACCGCCUUGGGAUAGGCUUGCGUCUGAUUAGCUAGUUGGUGUGGUAAUGGCACACCAAGGCUACGAUCAGUAACUGGUCUGAGAGGAUGAUCAGUCACACUGGAACUGAGACACGGUCCAGACUCCUACGGGAGGCAGCAGUGAGGAAUAUUGGGCAAUGCACGAAAGUGU
This 356-nucleotide ribosomal RNA is filed under the name uncultured bacterium. RNAcentral's name for it is "bacterial SSU rRNA". It matches the Rfam family "Bacterial small subunit ribosomal RNA", at positions 28 to 384 of the family's 1533-position model. The record is from RNAcentral.